Mesocricetus auratus (golden hamster) is the source of this 7304-nucleotide long non-coding RNA. RefSeq lists it as uncharacterized. Lineage: Eukaryota; Metazoa; Chordata; Mammalia; Rodentia; Cricetidae. The transcript has 8 exons. The record is from RefSeq and is a predicted model, not a curated record.
CAGGGAUAGAGGAAUGCCAAGAAUCUGAUUAAUGAUUGCCCAAUAGGGGCAAGUUCCUGGAUCCUGCUGCGGAGUGGGAGGGAGUCACUAGCUGGUUCUGGCCAGCUGAGUUGUCGGAGCAGAGGCCCCGAGCAAGGUGUCUGACUUCUGCAGGACUGACUCCUCGUGGACCAGUGGCCCUGGACCUAGUGAACUAGAUCCAGCAAGGGAGGGGCCAUCGGCUGAAUCAGGGAGGCCACCAGAGAAAAGAAGGCAGCCAUGAGAGGAGAUGACCCUGAAGAGGAGGGGGAGAGCCUACUGUGGGGCCCUCCAGGAAGAGCAGAGCACAGAAGAAGAGCAGAAGCCAGGCUGAGCAUUGCAUAUCCGGAAGGUCAGAAGCCACCGAUCAUACAGAGAAGGCGGAAGAAGAGGGCUCUGGGGUCCCUGGAGACAGCACCUCUCUUUCAGAGUGUGAGGAUUCCAGCUCCACUCCAACCCAGGCAUUUCAGGCUGGGAGAAGGGCCUGGUACCAGGAUGAGUGGCUGGAGAUGGCUGGUUCAGUAUCACAUGGGACCACCGGGAGGUGGUUUUGCCGUAUCUCAGAUAAGUCUGGCUUGUGUCAAGCUGACAUAAAGUUAGCCAUCCGGCUUGGGGCCUUUUGGGGAGAAACCUCAGCUGGAGUUUGGAUAGGAGUUGAAGCCACAGGCAGGCUGUCAGCAGAGGAUCCGCUGUCUCUCAUCAAUAAUAAAGUGCUCCCAGGCCCUCACUCCGAAACCUCCUGCAUAAUUCACCCAGAAACCCUCAAACAAAGGAGCCCAUGGCCCAGGCUCCUAAUCGGUGUCCUUCUCAAUUAUCCACAGAGCGGGGAGGGGCAGGAAGCGGUGGAGAGGGGAGGGCAGGGCACAGAAGAUCUGAUUGAUGGCCCACAUCUGGUUCUCCUCUUUAACAUGCACUCACCUGCCUCUGCCUUCUGUCGUCUGGUGUAUAGCCUCCCCCCACCUCAUUUAUACCCAUCUCCCUCUCCGUCCUGCCCUUCAUUGUCCUCUUGUUUUCUUCCUAACCAGGACACUGCUCAUGGUCUUGACCAGCCUCUGCCCACAGCAUCCCAGGAAGUUGAAUGGGUUACCAUGGUACCCCUCCGAUGGAUGAUUAAACCGAAGUCCACUGCUCCAGGGUCACAGCAUGGGUGAUGGCUAUCAGAACCCCUAACAUCCUUAGACUGUGCUCUUCCCCUGUUAGUCUUGUGCCAAGGAAAACAGCAACCCUGUACACCUGGGCAUGGAGGCUAAAUCCUUACCAGCCGCAGCGUGUUCCUCGUCUUAGGGGUGGUAGUGGACAGAGCUGGCCAUGGCCUCUCUUACCCUUGGGGUUCCGUCACUGAGGACAAAGAUCAGAGGCAAAUAGGCCAGGGGUAAAGUGAGCUGGGGGAAGCGGGAAGGACUUAUACACAACAGGAGCCACUGGCCUCUGUCCUCGCUGGCAUUGCUGGGAAGCUCCGCUGGGCAUAUUUCAGGGUGAGAGCUGUCCCAGUGCCAGAGGACACUGGAGCCCAGUUCCCUGCAUUCAAGCCAGGAGGCUGGAGAGCAAGGCCGCCGGGAGUGGGAUGGAGUCCAGUGAGCCGUCUUGGUCUGUGGAAGAAAGGCUUCCUCCUCCGUGGUCACUCUUUCAUGGCUUUCUAGGUCUCUAUGGCUGGCUCCAAAGUUGGCCUGAACAACAGCACGGCCUGAUGCCUGGAGCCUUACCUCGACUUACCAGAAAACGCUGCCCAUCUUCUUCCCAUUUGUAAGGUGGGCGUGCCUAUGGACAGACGGAUGGGAAGGAGAAGAAGUUCUCUUUUUGUCCCGCAGUUGGAUGUUGCUAGGGGUUACCGAUGUCUGGUGAUGGAUAAACAUCUCUCCUCCUUGGCCUUUGCUGGUGUUGGUAGGGUGUGGGAGCAACACUCUAGAGGAGUUACUUCAACUGUAAAACCAAAUUGCUUCUGAGAAUUGUCACAGUUCAACCGAAACGGAGGUGUUGUGCAAAUGGCAUAGCCUUGGCUAAUCCGUCUCACCUCUGUCUUUCGCCCGGGGCAGCCCAGGGGUGAUGAGCCUGUUCAGUUUACCUCAGGUACACAGGGAUGCUCUGAGAACCCCAAGAUGUGGUUCAGCUGGGCAUCCAGAUGGAGAAGUCAGGGUCAGAGGGAGCAGCAGGCUGGGAGUGGAGUGUGAGGAGCCUGGCCAGUGUCUAGAGCCUUGAGUCUACUACUUCAGGGACACUGGUGGCCUUAGGUGACCUUCAGCCUGACUCCCCACUCCUUCAUGGUUGCCUCAUGGAACUUAUGUAGUAAUCCUGAAUGCCAACUUGGCAAGGUCGCUUAGAGGAGGGAGUGAGACAGUGUGGACAGACUGGACCCAGCACCCAGGUACUCAGGCACAGUCACGCCCCUGGCUAUGGUUCCCGGUGCCCCCACCUCCUCACUCACUGUGCUCAGCCACAGACUGUCCCCACUCGCAGGCUUGGCUGUGAAGGACUUGGUAGUGUGGUACCUCCUCAGGAUGGCCCGCCUACUGCUUGGACCCUGUGCCCCUUAACUCUUGUGUAUUUUACACCCAUUUUAGAUCCCACAGAAGAGGCCCAGAGAGGACAAGUUGCUCACAAAGGCCACACAGGAGCUCAGGAGCAGAGCCCAGAGAGGUGGCUAAGUGGUUUGGAGAGACAUAGAGACUUAGGUUCAAGUCCUGAUCCAGGGCUCGGUCCUCCAGAGUGGAUACUGUUGAUGUUUCCCCUUCCCACACCUUCCCUUUCUCAGAUUCUCUUUUAAAGACAGGAUGCAGCUCAGUGAUGAAACACCUGCCUAGGUGUGAGGUACCAUCCGGAUCCCUAACAUUAAGAAAAUAAAAUGAUCAGUUCUCUGCUUUAAUCAGUGACAAUUUUCUGGGCACCAACUCACUGAGGUCCCACGAGGGGCCUGCUGCUAUGUGCCAGAGGUUAACCUGCCGGGAAUUGUGCCCAAGGACAAGGCGAGGCAGGGACGUUCACUCUCCACCCUGCCUGCUCCGGGGUCUGGCAGGUGUCCUGGCCUCCUGGGAUUCACUAGGGCUCAAGGUGACUCAGCACCUCUCCCGGAGCACUAAGGAGGCGGAGGAGGAAGACAUCGCUGGUGCUGCGGGAUCUAGUUCCAGCCUAGAAGAGACAUUUGCAUUUAAAUGGAGGCCUGGAAGUCUGUAAAUCUGCAUUUCCCAACCGCGGAGCCCUAAUGGUUGUUUAAUCAUGUUUAGAUGAACCCCCCUGGAGCACUGGGGGCUGGUGCAGUGUGUCUGAGAUCUGUAACACAGACUGAGAGCAAGAAGGGCUCUCAGGCAGGGAACUCUUUCCUUCAUGUCCUCUGUCCCGGACAAAUCAGUCAUUCCCGAGAUGCACUAGGCCUCUGCCUCCGCCAGGAGGGCCUCCUGGAUUACUGAGAAGAAGCAGAAGUAGGAUUGGCUCCAAAGUCCCUCAGCCUUGUCUGUUAUGAUAAAGCUUGUGGGGGACGUUGGCGGAUUCCACGGCAGGCGAGGGUGGCCGAGGCAGAGGGACAAACAUGCCAGGCAGACAGAGCUUAAGUGAGAGGUUUUAUUAGAAAGGGGAGGGAAGGGGGAAAUAAAGAGGACACAGGUAAAGAGACACAGAGACAGAGAGAGGACAGAAAAGGGAGACAGGAAAAGUCCUGUCUGCCCCAGGGGAACGGCAGGGAGAGAGAAAGAGAGAGUAAGUGGGCGGGGGUCUUUCUUUAAAGGGGCCCCUGCACUUCCAUGCAGACUACGCAAUCAUGGAACCCUGGGCUGACCAGGGUACUGCCUGAGUGCAUUCUGCCAGGUGACAGGGGCAGCCAGCACAGUGUCUGAGUCCUUACAUUGCCUUCCAACAUUGGGUGGAGUAACGGUGUUGCUGAGACCUGCCCCUCACUGACUCCGGGCAGAACCGCACAUGCCCAGUUCCUAGAUCACCCCAGAAGGGGGCAGGGCCUAGCCAGACAUGUAGAAUGCCUGGAACACAGUAGGACCUUCAUCAUGGUGGUCAGUGUAGGCUGCCCUUGAGCAGGAUCAGCCUUUCUGGGAUUUGCUUUGCGGCUGAGUCUCUCAGCUAGCCUUUGAUGGGGGCUCAUUUCAGUGCGCACCGGUCUCUCUGGGACCCAGACUUCCCGCCCCCCCUCACUGACGGUAGAGCAUUCAGUUCACUAACAACACCCUCCAAGUGUCCCUCUUUGUCACUGAGCAUGUCCGAAGUAGGGGUGCAGGUUCGACUUCCCUGCAUGGCUGCUGUGUGUGUGGAUGGCACCAAAUGGCAUCCUUGUCAUGUGCAUCAUGUCAUCCAGGGAGGUCCCAGUCACACUCUCAACCUAAGCGAGGGAAAGCAGCUUUCUUGAGGUCACCCAGCAGGACUCAGUGCUCAAGCCCCAUGGGUACUGGGCACGUGGGGCCGGGGCCUGCGUCUCCUGUUGCCUCCCAGGCCUCACAGCAGAGUUUCACAGGAGGAAGGGUUCAGCUCCAGACCAGGUCUAUCUUGGUGUAUCUUCUGAGUCCUUGACUCCUGGAGGUCCAGCUCUGAGCACUCAGGCUACAGGUAAGAUGAGGCCUGGGGGUGCUCAAGCCCUGUGCCUCCCACUCUGGAAGUUGGGGUCAGCUCCUCCUAACCCCCCAUCACCUGUCUAGAUCCCAGGCUUUGAGACAGGAUGGGUGACCUUCAGGGGCCAUCUGAGGCUUUUGUUCCCUGAAUUACAGGUUGCUCUCACCAGGGACAGCCAGGUUGAGUGGGUCAACCAGGAGCUCAGCACCCAAACUCUGAUUCCUCAGGAACUUCUCUCAGAUGUAGAUGGUUCUAAACAUCACCCACUGGCUCAGUCUUCAAGGAGAUGGGCAGCAUUCUCUGGAGAGAAGUGUGUUAACACAAGCCUUUCCCUUCUACUCCAGCCAAUCACUAGAACUUGACCUCAGUGCCCCCUUAUUCCCUGCUUACUCCUCCUGAGACUUGACCUGUGACCCUACCAAGAGUCCCGUCUUACAUCAGUUCCCCUUAACAGUGACCUGUCAUUCCAGACAUGCCUCUGUGCCCAUUGCCCAGGGACUCGACUGCUGGGAGGCAUUUGCUCUGACAUCUCUAUUCUCCCGUCCCUUUCCUCCUCUACUGAAGGAAGGUUCCAGUCCUCUCGUCUUUUUAGUCUUUUUAGAUCGAGGACUUCUAAGGCACAUGGACUCUGUCUUAUCCCUAGCCUGGGGCCAGGCAUGGACUAAGUGCUUAAUGAGCUCUUGGAUACAUUGUUGCUGAGACACGAGCAGUAGCACUCAGGAACAUGGUGUAGCUUAUCAGUGUUGUACAGCUCAAAGGCAUCUGCAUCUUAGCACCCAGGAACAUGGUGUAGCUUAUCAGUGCUCUACAGCUCAAAGACCUGGCAUCAGGCAGGCCAGGGUUUGAAUCUCAGGCUCAAUCCUUAUUAAUGUCAGGCAGUAACUGACACUGAGUGACAUCUCGACACUCGUGGGUUUGCUGACUCUGGACCCAUGGGAUCUGGGCAGACAAUUACUCUUGCCUCUGUCUUCAACACUCUCAAUCAGCACAUGGUAGGACCCGUAGGUGGGGUGGGGUCAUUGCCAUUGUUGGGUAGCCCAGGUUGCAGUGAAUGACCCUGGGCUCCCGGUCCUCUUGCCUCCAGCUCCCUGGAGUUGAAAUGACAGGCCUGCACCACCACCCCUGGAGAUUGUACUCACGGCUUUGUGUGCGCUAGGUGGGUACUCUACCAACUGAGCCACAGCCCGGUCCAUUCUUGGUGCAACUAAAGAUACAUGGGAAGCUGGUCAGGCAGCUCUCAGCACCACCUCCCUAUCCUGUUACAAAGCACCCUUGACCCAAAUGACCAGUGCUGUCACCAGGGUCACCCCUUAAGUCCCAUUACCCCUUUCCCAGGUCAUAGACCAGCCCUGCCCAGCUCCUUGGCCUGACACAGCUGACUGGAAAUGUGCUCUUUCUGAGCCUGCCCCCACCACUUUCCCAUCGGAAAAAGCAAUUAGACCGUGUUUACCGGAGUGCAUGGUUGCAAUCUGUCGUUCCUAUCGUAUAUCCUGUGCACUGGCCCACUUCUCACAUGCUUCGCUUAGGCCUGAUGGGAGAUUUGCAUAAGCAGUAAAAAUAGAACUGGGAAAAAGCGGGGGAGGGAUCAGUGUGGGGCCAGAGAGUUAGGAGUACAGCCCUAGGCAUCUGGGUGGGUCAGGGGGAACUGAUGGUGGGUGCAGGUUCUUCCCUUCUCAUAUGAUUUGAUCUUUUGCCUCUGUUGGGCGGGCAGUCAGGUCACUAUGAGAAGUCAGGCUAGCCUACAGGGACCUGCGUAGCCAAAGGAAGCUCUCAGUCAGAGAGAUACCCUCCCCUACAGGCACCCCUGUGUGUUGAUGCAUCCAAGCUGCAUGUGGCUUGCUGCUAACCCGGAGGCAGGCUGAGUGGUGUUAUUAGCUACACAGCUUUGAGAAUGAGCCAAGGAGGCUUCCUGGAGGAGGCUGUUCUAAGAACCGAGCUCCGGGUCUCCGACUAACACCUCCUCCAUCUGGAACAGUGCCUGCCUGGGUGGAGUAAGUAUCUGCUGGAUGCUUAAAGGAAUCAAGUACGAGCUGAGGGUGGGAGAGAAGCGGAAAUGACCCAGAGAAAAAGGAGGGAAGGGGCUGACAGGUAGAGCAGGGUUGGGAGUGAGCAGUGGGGUAACAACACUGCAGGAGAGUUCCCUACAGUAGAGGUGAAGCUUGAAGACCUGGCGGGGCCCCAGAGACUCACUGGGAUGCCCCAGAGCCAUGCAGAGCCCAAGAAGACUGGGCAGGGAGAGGUACUUUAUCUAAUUGGUUGUAGGGAGGAUGGCACUGGCUGCCUUGGGGAGGAAAGGCUGGAAGGCUUUGAGGUGUCAUCUCAUGUCCAGGCAGAGGGGACAGGGCUUGGGAUGGCGGGCUUGACAAGGAAAAGAAGCAGGUGCCUGCAGAAGGGAGAAUGGGUAGGCUCCAGGGAAGGCAGUAAAAGACUAGCAAUGACUGUGUGACCUCCAAGUCCUGUAAGAUUUGUACUUCUCACCGGGUGUUGGUAGCAAAGCCUUUAAUCCCAGCACUUGGGAGGCAGAGGCAGGUGGAUCUCUAUGAGUUUGAGGUCAGCCUGGUUUACAGAGUGAGUUCCAAAGCUACAUAGAAAAACUCUGUCUCAAACAAACAAAAAGAUUUGCUCUUCUCUCAUCUGGUAGUGCCUUCCUGUGAGCUUUCCCAAAAUCCACCCAAGGACCCCAGUCCAACCUGUACAAGAUGUGUGGCUUUCUUUUUAAUUAAAACAUAUUUACCCAUCUA